This 497-nucleotide ribosomal RNA is filed under the name uncultured bacterium. RNAcentral describes it as "partial 16S ribosomal RNA". It matches the Rfam family "Bacterial small subunit ribosomal RNA", at positions 28 to 507 of the family's 1533-position model. The record is from RNAcentral.
GACGAACGCUGGCGGCGUGCCUAAUACAUGCAAGUUGAGCGCUGAAGGUUGGUACUUGUACCAACUGGAUGAGCAGCGAACGGGUGAGUAACGCGUGGGGAAUCUGCCUUUGAGCGGGGGACAACAUUUGGAAACGAAUGCUAAUACCGCAUAAAAACUUUAAACACAAGUUUUAAGUUUGAAAGAUGCAAUUGCAUCACUCAAAGAUGAUCCCGCGUUGUAUUAGCUAGUUGGUGAGGUAAAGGCUCACCAAGGCGAUGAUACAUAGCCGACCUGAGAGGGUGAUCGGCCACAUUGGGACUGAGACACGGCCCAAACUCCUACGGGAGGCAGCAGUAGGGAAUCUUCGGCAAUGGACGAAAGUCUGACCGAGCAACGCCGCGUGAGUGAAGAAGGUUGUCGGAUCGUAAAACUCGGUUGGUAGAGAAGAACGUUGGUGAGAGUGGAAAGCUCAUCAAGUGACGGUAACUACCCAGAAGGGGACGGCUAACUACGUG